GACGAACGCUGGCGGCGUGCUUAACACAUGCAAGUCGAACGGUGAAGGGAUCAGCUUGCUGGUUCUGGAUGAGUGGCGAACGGGUGAGUAACACGUGAGUAACCUGCCCCCUUCUUCUGGAUAACCGCAUGAAAGUGUGGCUAAUACGGGAUAUUCUGGGUCUGUCGCAUGAUGGGUCUGGGAAAGAUAUUGUUUCGGUGGGGGAUGGGCUCGCGGCCUAUCAGCUUGUUGGUGGGGUGAUGGCCUACCAAGGCGGUGACGGGUAGCCGGCCUGAGAGGGUGGACGGUCACACUGGGACUGAGACACGGCCCAGACUCCUACGGGAGGCAGCAGUGGGGAAUAGUGCACAAGGGGCGCAAGCCUGAUGCAGCGACGCCGCGUGAGGGAUGGAGGCCUUCGGGUUGUAAACCUCUUUCGCCAGUGAAGCAGGCCUGCUCCGUGUGGGUGGGUUGACGGUAGCUGGAGAAGAAGCGCCGGCUAACUACGUG
RNAcentral lists this ribosomal RNA (489 nucleotides) under uncultured bacterium. RNAcentral's name for it is "partial 16S ribosomal RNA". It matches the Rfam family "Bacterial small subunit ribosomal RNA", at positions 28 to 507 of the family's 1533-position model. The record is from RNAcentral.